Molecule: ribosomal RNA, 386 nt
Filed under: uncultured Veillonella sp.
Lineage: Bacteria; Bacillati; Bacillota; Negativicutes; Veillonellales; Veillonellaceae
Description: bacterial SSU rRNA
Rfam family: Bacterial small subunit ribosomal RNA
Source: RNAcentral
GCUAUACCGCAUACGACCUACGAUUGGCAUCAAUCGUAGGUGAAAGGUGGCCUCUACAUGUAAGCUAUCGUUGUAGGAGGGGAUUGCGUCUGAUUAGCUAGUUGGAGGGGGUAACGGCCCACCAAGGCAAUGAUCAGUAGCCGGUCUGAGAGGAUGAACGGCCACAUUGGGACUGAGACACGGCCCAAACUCCUACGGGAGGCAGCAGUGGGGAAUCUUCCGCAAUGGACGAAAGUCUGACGGAGCAACGCCGCGUGAGUGAUGACGGUCUUCGGAUUGUAAAGCUCUGUUAAUCGGGACGAAUGGUUUGUGUGCAAAUAGUGCAUAGACAUGACGGUACCGGAAUAGAAAGCCACGGCUAACUACGUGCCAGCAGCCGCGGUAAU